Molecule: ribosomal RNA, 443 nt
Filed under: uncultured bacterium
Lineage: Bacteria
Description: partial 16S ribosomal RNA
Rfam family: Bacterial small subunit ribosomal RNA
Source: RNAcentral
CCUACGGGUGGCAGCAGUGGGGAAUAUUGCGCAAUGGGCGAAAGCCUGACGCAGCGACGCCGCGUGAGGGAUGAAGGUCUUCGGGUUGUAAACUUCUUUUCUCAGGGACGAAGCAAGUGACGGUACCUGAGGAAUAAGCCACGGCUAACUACGUGCCAGCAGCCGCGGUAAUACGUAGGUGGCAAGCGUUAUCCGGAUUUACUGGGUGUAAAGGGCGUGUAGGCGGGACUGCAAGUCAGAUGUGAAAACCAUGGGCUCAACCUAUGGCCUGCAUUUGAAACUGUAGUUCUUGAGUACUGGAGAGGCAGACGGAAUUCCUAGUGUAGCGGUGAAAUGCGUAGAUAUUAGGAGGAACACCAGUGGCGAAGGCGGUCUGCUGGACAGCAACUGACGCUGAGGCGCGAAAGCGUGGGGAGCAAACAGGAUUAGAUACCCCAGUAGUC